Molecule: long non-coding RNA, 315 nt
Filed under: Elaeis guineensis (African oil palm)
Lineage: Eukaryota; Viridiplantae; Streptophyta; Magnoliopsida; Arecales; Arecaceae
Description: long non-coding RNA (EGUI_LNC039197)
Source: RNAcentral
UCACGUGGAGCGGGGUUCGUGCGACACUGGAUUGGGGGCGGUGGCGAGCUGGCUCACAGUUCACAGUGGAAAAUGGGAGCGGGCUGCACGAUUAUUUGGCAUGGUUCAGAGAGGUAAAAAGGGAUGCGGACGCGGCUUGGGAUGCGGAUUGAGAGAGAACUUCACAGUUUUAAAACAAAACAAACUUUCAUCUUUAGAUCAUUGGCCCAUAUUGCUUAGCUAAAUAAAUCUCAUCCUUCCUGACAUCUAUAAAUAAAGCCUAAUCCUUUACCUAAAAAGAGGAUGGGAUAAAGUAUUUACUCCAACAUUGCAGCG